This is a long non-coding RNA of Empidonax traillii (willow flycatcher), 570 nucleotides long. RefSeq lists it as uncharacterized. The transcript is spliced from 3 exons. NCBI's taxonomy places the organism in Eukaryota, Metazoa, Chordata, Aves, Passeriformes, Tyrannidae. The record is from RefSeq and is a predicted model, not a curated record.
GAAAGCUUGUCAUCCACCAGGACCUCGAGAUCCUUCUCCACAGAGCUGCUUUCCAGCAGGUUAGCCCCCACCCUGUGCUGGCGCCCAAGGUUAUUCCUCCCCAAUACAAACUGGAACAAUGUUGUGGAAGAGCUCACGGGAACUCACAUCAGAAUUGCAUAAAUUAAAAACAGCAAUAAUGAUGGGAAUGAAAAAGUAUGCCAAAGUGUUAUGUGAUGACGGAUGAGGGCCAACAUUACAAUUUAUGUUUGUGACCUGGCACAUGGAUGGAAACAGAGAGAAUGAUUCAGUGGUUUUUGCAGCCUUAAUCCCUACUAAAGAGUGGCUCUGCCAAGGUAAACGUGACAUUUUAAAUGAAACUGCUUUGCAUACACUGCAUGGAACCUGAGAUCCCACUUUUGUACUGCGGUUUCCUUCCAAAAUGUAGCUACUGACAGGGCAGAGUAAGUGUGCAGUCUGGGCUCCCCUGUGCUAAGAGUGUUUGGUCUGCUUCAGCAAAUGGCAGUGAUGAGCAGGUCGUGCGAAAGGGACGAGACAGAUGUUAUUUGAACACGUGUAUUCCCAAGGCUA